UGAUUAUAGCAUAUCACUAAUGCACCGGAUCCCAUUAGAACUACGCAAUUAAGUGCGCUCAGGCUAGAGUAGUACUGUGAUGGGUGAUCACCCGAGAAGUCCUAGUGUUUUAGAAAC
Picea glauca (white spruce) is the source of this 117-nucleotide non-coding RNA. The record is from Rfam. Lineage: Eukaryota; Viridiplantae; Streptophyta; Pinopsida; Pinales; Pinaceae.